GUGAGGAAUUUUCCGCAAUGGGCGAAAGCCUGACGGAGCAAUGGCGCGUGAAGGAUGAAGGCCUAUGGGUUGUAAACUUCUUUUCUCAGAAAAGAAUUAUGACGGUAUCUGAGGAAUAAGCAUCGGCUAACUCUGUGCCAGCAGCCGCGGUAAGACAGAGGAUGCAAGCGUUAUCCGGAAUGAUUGGGCGUAAAGCGUCUGUAGGUUGUUUAAAAAGUAUUCUGUCAAAGAUUAGGGCUUAACCCUAGAUAGGCAGAAUAAACUUUUAAGCUAGAGUUUGGUAGAGGCAGAGGGAAUUCCCGGUGGAGCGGUGAAAUGCGUAGAUAUCGGGAGGAACACCAAAGGCGAAGGCACUCUGCUGGGCCAAUACUAACACUGAGAGACGAAAGCGAGGGGAGCAAAUGGGAUUAGAAACCCGUGUAGUCC
Molecule: ribosomal RNA, 426 nt
Filed under: uncultured bacterium
Lineage: Bacteria
Description: partial 16S ribosomal RNA
Rfam family: Bacterial small subunit ribosomal RNA
Source: RNAcentral